CAAAGGCGUAGGGGUAGUGGGAGGGGCAGGGGAAAGGAAAGAAAGGAAAGGAAAAAUGAUGAGAAAUGGAAAAAAUGGAAAUAAAGUCUUUGUAAAUAGGGAAGGGUGGAGGGGGUGAAGGGAGGGCUAGGAAUGGGGAAAAAAUAAGAACCAAGAUGCAUUAUGUAAAGGUACAAUUCCCAAUGAGAAAUGUAAUUAUGUUGUAUACCUACAAUGUACCAAUAAAAGAAAUUAAAACAAAAAAACCCAAAAUAAUCACCUACCAUAGGCUAGUUUUGUGCAAAGGAAAAAAAAGCAAACAAAUCAAGGGCUAAAAUAUAGUAAUCACCUCUAUUACUGUAGCUAUAAUGAUUGCUGUUACUGGCCUGAGUCUUAUGUGCUACAGAAUAUGAUCUUUGGAGAGUUGUAGGCAUAUGUCUCUAGUACUUUCUGGCCCCCUGGAACUUAGCCAGCAUUCGAUGAGAGCCACAUGGAAAGACCUUUGGAGGAGAUAGGAGGUACCUCACUAGACCACCAUAGCUGAGGUCCCAGUCAACAGAACCAAGUGACAGCCAGUGAAGGAGCCAUAUUGGAUCACCCAGAAUAUUCAAGACCCAGUGUUACUGCAGCUGCAGCCAAUAUCACAUGAAGCAGGAGAAUCAUCCCUCUAAGCCCAGGAUUCCUACAAGAUCAUGAAAAUAACCAAAUAAGCCACUAACUUGUGGGGUGGUUUAUUAUGCAGCAAAAUGCAUGGAAAGAGCUGAAUCCUUCCUGGAAUGGGCUUCAGAAUUGUCUUAUCAGUGACUCAUGAGGUCAGCCCAGCUCCCUUCAUAACCAAACUAAUUCAUUUGAGCAAUGACAGACCUUAGGCACAGGGGGUACUGAGAAGUGGGAGAAGCCACAAGAAAAGAGAACUCUGUCUGAACCAUCAAGUUAUCUGAAAUUUUGGUAAGGAAAAUGUGAAUGUGUGUGCUAAAAAUAGCAUUUGACAACAAAUGGCACAAGGGAAAGCACAACAGGGUUUGACUUGUGUGAGUGAGACAAUGUGGACAUGCAUUAUUGGGAAUUCAGUGCUGACUUUGAGUCAAAGAGAGCAAUGUGGACCCCUGCAGUAGGAACAAUUAUUUCACUGAAUUUCCAGCUGGAGUAUAUGAUUUUGGGGAGGGAAUGUCAAUGGAACAUUUUUUUUUUUUGCAUAGAAAUGUUUUUACUCUAUGACUCAGUACCUUCUUUCCAGAGCUAAAAUCAUCUAGAAAUGAGCUUGAAUGACCCAGGAGCUAUGGAAUGCUAGCAAGGAUGAUGAGAAAUUCAUAUUAUAACAUGAUGACAUGACCUUCACAUCUAGGGAGUAUAAGACAAGUGGAAAAGAGGAUGAUUUGGAAAUGGAAAAGACAACAAAGCUUGAAAUUUGAAUGAAGACCGUUAAUGCUGGAAUCAGGAGGACAAACCAAAUAAAAAUUUAUACAGAAGAAAUUCUUAACAUCCUUUUUCUCUUCUCUAAUUUCAACCACUGAAGUAACAAAUACAAUUCAACAUUCAUUUUUAACAUUUAUAUUGAGUCUUUUUAGAGUAAAUGUUUUAAAAAUUAUUCUAUUAGUAGUUACAGGCACUUUUAUUUUUAUUUAUUUGGGGGGGGUACUGGGGAUCAAACUCUCGGGACCUUGGGCUUGUGAGGCAGGCGGCAGAACCACUGCGCUAAAUCCCCAGCACUUCUGUUAGUAGUGAAAAAAGCUCACCAUGACUUUUCAGAACUUUUUAUGAAAAAGGACUUGAAAGAGCAUAUCUCUAAGGAAAAAGAACCAAUUGACCCUUUCAGCAUAUGACAAAAGUGAUAUGAUUUCUCAGCAAAUACCCUCAUCAAAACAUCUAGCAAAUGGGCUAAAAAUGUUGUAUAGUAUCCUCUGGGCAUUUUGGGAAAUUUAUAUGUCUUCAUUGAUUACUCUGACAGUUGAUAAGGCAAAAAACCAAUGUUAUAAUUUAUGCAUUAUACUUAUGUGACAUUUCUUCCUGAUAAUAAUGUGACACUAAAGCAGAGAGGAGAAAUUGCCCUGGGUGGCAGUUAAUAUGGUGUGUUGUCUAUCUUUGUUUCAAAACAUUUUUCCAAAAUCAGUAGCUCAGUGAAAUAAGAUUUUGACCAGUGAUCAAAGCACAGAUAGGCAAGAAAUUUCCUGUUGAAAAGCAGUUACACAUAGUAUUUUAUAGUAGAAAUAUUAUGCAGAAGAGAAGAUGUACAAUCAUUUUCAAGAUUAGGAGUGAAUAUGGAGAAUUUCUACAUAUUGACUACACCAAGUUUUCUUCAUCACAGAGCCCUGCAAACCACACCUCUGCUCUCAAGCUCGAGGGCUUCCUCUCUGUGGCUGUUAAGUAUAUUACUAGAAAGAUAAUGUCUCAGGUUAGCUCAUCAUGGGCCUGAAAAUUCCCCCACCCUCAUCUUCCUUUUCUUCUCCCUUUCUCCUCAUUCUUCCAUGCUUUGUGUUUGGAGAAGGGUGACUUGAUUAGUGAGACUUAAACUAAGAGACUCCAGGAUCAGACCAUGUGGAAAGUAAUAACUGGCUGUGGGGUCAGCUUGCGGCCUCUGUUGGUUAGCUUUCCAUUACUGUAACAAGUAUCUGAGAUAAACAACUUGCAAAGAGGAAAGGUUUAUUUUGGCUCACAGUUUCAGAGGUUUCCGCCCAUGGUCAAUCGGCUCUGUGGCUUUGGGCCUGUGGUGAGAUAACAAAUCAUGCAGGGAAGCAUAUAGUGCAACAAAACAAGGAAGGGCUAGAUUCCCAGUAUCCCAUUCAGGAACAUAUCCUCAAUGGCCUAACUUCCUCCCAGGAGGCCCUGUGUCUUAAAGAUUCCACUGUCUCACAAUAGUGCCACAGGCUUGCAACUAAGCAUUGAUCACCUGGGCCAAACACAUCCCAGCAAUCGCAAGAAGAAAAACGAAGAUCCUGUAGUUUUCAGGAAUUUUCAACUAGGUCCUUAUUAUUCAUUUCUUAGGUUGUUGGUGUAAAUAGAAUUGAUCAAGAGCUACAAUCCGAUAUUACUAAGAGUUGUUUAGACACAGGUUCCAUUUCUAUAUAAGCAACAGGGCCUUUCAAAACCAACCAUUUUAAGAAGUAAAAUUUUAGGAACCUGGAAACAUUUACCUUUCAAAAGUGCUUUACAGCUUUCCAGGCCUCGUCAUACAUGAAGGCACUGUGCAAUUAUCCAGACAAUUUUCCGUCCACUUCCGUUCUCUUACCUCCUUCCCAAUGCUAGGGCUCAGGGCAAGUGACCCACGCCGCAGAAGCAGAAGGGCUUGCCGGAGGUGGGGAACGGGGAGAGGACAGCCUCCCUAGGGGCGCUCUGCCCUUCCUCAGCCAGGGCCAGGGUCCCUGCUACCCGGGAGGGCGCCUCCCCUCGCUCACACCUGAGUUCACCUGGAAGGCGGGGCGGGGAGCAGGGCACAGGACGGGGUCAGUGCGGCCCUGGAUCCGCUCAGCAGCGGCUCCGGCGCCCGGGCCUGGCCCCCUGUUGCUCACACUGCUGGCGACCAAUGGCGCCGCCGCUUAUCACCCCGGCCCCGCCCCCGGGGAGUGGGAGGGCGGGCGGUCGGCAGGCACCGGAGAGCGAGGAUUGAACUUUGCAGCCGACUGGCGGCGGCGGCGGCGAGGUGCCCGGCAGCGCGGCCCCGGUUCCGAGCGGGGAGCCAUGGAGUACGGGGCGCAGCGCGGCCCUCACCCUGUGCCUGUGGCUCUGGUUGGCGGCCUCGGGGGGCUGCCUGGCUUCAGGCCCCGGCUUGGUGGCGGCGGCGACCCCACGGCGGCUGGACGAGUCUCUGUCCGCCCGGAGCUUCCAGCGCACGCGCUGCGCCUCCAGGUGCCUCCGCCUGCAGACCACUCGCUUCUCCGCCUUCUUCCAGCACUUCCAGGUACGAGCGCCCUCGCCCUCGCCCCCGCCCCGCCGGGAUCCCCUCUGCAGCCCUGGGGCCUCGGCGUGCGCGCGAGGUCCUCCCAGCCUGGGCGGGCGCAAAGUUCUGCCCGGCUUUCCCUCCGCGUGGGUUGCACGAUCCGGGCUCCCCAAGCCUCUCUCCUGGGCAUCUUCUCCAAAUCCCUUCUCCCCGGCGGCCGACGGGACGGGCGGCACUCGCUCUUUCUAGGGGACGCAGACCAGUUUUUCGGAUUCCCAGGUGUCUGCGUGGGGCUUGUCACUUUCCCGGGACCGCAGCGCGCGCAACUCGGCGCCAGGGAGGAGGAGUUCCGCCAACUCCGGGCCGCCCGGGACGCUCCCCACCGGCGGCACGGACACUCCCGGGGUCUCCAAGGCGCGCGCGGUGCCCCAGUGUCGCAGGUGCCGGGGUGCCGGACGCCUCGGACGGCUUUGAGCUGUAGCUUUCCUAACCGGCGGGUCUGGGGCUCGCUAGCCACCUCCGGAAGACCCACCCAGGGCCCCGGGGCCGACUUGUGCGCUCUCUCGGGGUGCGCGGUGCGCGUCCCGCUCGCAGCUCCAAGGGUUCCCUUACUAACCACCGGCUCAGAGGACCGGCAGUGGCAGGGGAAGGGUGGGGCUCAGGACGCAGGGGCCAGGCUUGGAUGCUCCGGGGAAGAAUCCCCGGGGCCAAGGGCUCCCCCAGCCCGAGUAGGUUGUUCCAGCUUGAGGGUGCGGAAGGUGGGGGGGAGAGGGGCGAAGGAGGCUCCUGGAAGUGCACUCCUGGCGCCCUUGGACCUGCACCAAAGCGGGUGGGCGCCCGAGCAGCUCCCGGACUCCGAGGGCGCAAGGCCCUGGAGUCAUCCACUUGCGGGCCUCCUCCUCUGCUGCUCGCCUCUCCCCUGAGCUACCCACCUGUUCCAACAGCCCAGCUUCUCGCCCCAGGGAAAAUUCUGGAGGCUCCCAGGUGAGGCUGGAACUGGAAGCAGAGCCCUCUGCCUUUACACUGGGUACCCCUCCGGCCGGCCGAGGCCCAGUGGAGUAGAGGGGGCUCAGCAAAGGAGGGGCUCCCGGAAUCAGGGAUCCGAGCAGCUGGAACCGGCGCUGAUCAGUUCUGGAGGGUGCAGUUUCGGGUGUCUGUCCGCAGCCCUCCGGGUGGCCUUCCCCGCCAGUGUGCCAGAGAGCGACCUACGGACGGCUCACAGUUGGGAUCUGAAGAGCUGAGGCCCACCGGUGAACUUUGCGAGCCUUUGUUCGGAAUCAAACAGUGUCUGUCAGGAGAAAGUAGAAAAGGACACUCAGCCUCUUUCAGGGCCUGCGGGGAAGCGAAACCCGACGCUUACCUCUGUAGCGAGGUAGCAGGACAUCGACAUCCAGGCAGGCGCCUGUCCCCACACACCUGACUCAAAUCCACCGCCUUACCCCAAAGUCCCUCUCCCCAGAAGAUGCCACGCGGGUGUUUGAACAACACCGCAACACAACGCAGAAACCACCAGCCCAUCUCCAGAGAGGACAAGGAUGUCCCUCCCUCCACCUUUUUAUUGUCAGUUGCAGUGAUUUACUUGUUUUACAGUUGCAGCGGCUACAGAAGCAGUUUAGAUCGAGCCAAUUCCCGUGAAAGGCUUUUCUCAUGGUCUCUUGGCUUGAUUUCUCUUCCCAAGAAAAACUACUGACAGAAUACACGUUGCCAGACAAUCCCGAUUACAUUUUAAUUAGCUCGGGUGAAACAGGCUGCAAAUUACUUAGGACCUAAUAACUGCUGGGCUUUUUUCUUGGUUUUGUUUUCUGUAAUUACUCGCAAAGCCAUUCUUGGAGACUUAACCCUAACCUGGUAGUGCCUAUCUGAUUUAUCUAAAUUCCAGGGAUUUGGCUUUCUUAAAACUUGAAAAGACAGCAACACGUCCUCCUUAUACAGCAAAGCCCCAGGCUUCCCUGGGGCCCUGGCCAGCCCUACCUUGUUGGAUAAUUGGAAGCCUGGUGGAGGGAUCCGCCUCAGGAUGUAUGAAUGGGCGCAAGACUGGGCUGCAGGAAGUCUCAGGAGGAACUAUUGGAUCAGUCCACUCCCUCCACACAGGGUCCUCCUGCAGGGGACCCAGCAGGUGCUUGCAUCCAUCUUUACUUGUACAGUUCUAGGCCUCUUUUUAAGAUCUUUUUAAGGAUGCGAGCAAGUUUGCCUCCAUCCAACCUGGAUGCCAGCCAGAUGUGUGAACUCCCAGGCAUGGAAGCAGCCAGGGAGGACCCAAUCUAUACCCUCCAGGUACACUCAGGGACUCGGGGUCCUAGGCAACACUGACCAGCUAUGGUCCACCUGGGAUCUAAUCAUCACCACCUCAGUCCCUUUCUGGUUCCCUGUACUGCCCAGCCCGGCAGCAAUUGGAAGGGAGAGCUGUAGGCAGAUGUGCACAUCUGGACACAGUGGCUGUCACCCUCCAGGGCACCAGGGACUCAGUACUAGAGCCUGCAGGUGAGAGUGAUGAUGGCAGAGAUCUGAUUACAGCCCGGAAUCCUCCCCCAUGGCAGGAGAUGUGUUAUGGUGCAUCGAACACAUGCUAUUUUUUUCCUGUGAUUGGUUCUGAGCCAUUUUGGUAGCAUCCCAUUAGAUGGGAGCGGCCAUACAACAGCCUGGAUGCCACCUGCAUUCAGGGAGCUGUGUGGUGCCAGCCCAGAAACCUGCCCCACAGCAGGAGAUGUGGUAAGGUGGGUCGAACCCAUUCUCUGUAUUCCUGUGAGCGGUUCUGAGCCAUUUCGGAAGCAUUCCAUUAGAUGGGAGCAGAUGUAUGGUGGACCAGAUGCCAUCUCCUUUACAGUAGUGGCGUGGUGCCAGCUCUGAAUCCUCCCCCGUGGCUGGAGACAUAUGUUUUUAAAAGCUGAUAAAUUAUAACUUUAAGUCAUUGCUUUAUGUGUAUUGGCAUAAAUGUAUAUAUUAUGUUAUGCCUACCUGUAUACUUGUAUUUAUAUAUUGUUGAGAUGGUACCAGAUUACUUUUUUUAAAAAGUACUCAAUAUCUUAAAAACAUAAACCUAAAUACCUCUUUGAUCACAUGACUUUUAUAAAAUGUUUUUAAAAGGUCAGUAUGGUGAUGCAUUCCUGUAAUCCCAGCAUGCAGGAGGAUGAGAGAGGAAGAUUUUAAGGCCACCCUGGGCUACACAGUGAGACCCUGUCUCAAAACAAACAAAGAAAAAGAAGAGUUUUAAAAGAUAUAACAAAGGUGUCCUCAACUGCUAAUGUAAAUUUUCACUACAUUAGCUAAUCAAAUUUAUAUUUGAGGUAUUUUAACUUUAGAAAAAGUUUCAGUUGCACAAAAGUUAAAGAUACUAAUUGCUGGGUGUGGUUGCACAAGCCUGUAAUGCCAGCACUCAGGAAGCUGAGGCAGGAGCUGUGAGUUUGAGGACACCCUGGGAUACAUAAUCAGUUCAAGGCCAGCCUGAAUUACACUGUGAAACCCUGUCUCAAAAAAACAAAUUAAAGAGCAUAAAAAUAUAAUUAAAAUUUUUGAGUUUGUUAGGAUCCUAAAAACUCUUAAAAAUCAGAGUCAGUUCAACAUUGAGACAAUAUGAAUAUACCAAUAUCUGGGUAUUCUUUUAUUUUAAAUUAUUUAGCUUCUCAAACAAUGAUAUAUAACAAUAGUCAAUAUAAAGACUGCUUCUAAAUUUGUACCAGGGGUCCUGUUUUUUGAUAGACAUUAGUUUAAAAUGUUAGAGUGUUUUGGUUUUGUUUUUUUUUUUGGUACCAGGGAUCAAGCUCGGGACCUUUCGCUUGUGAGGCAGGCACCAGAACCACUGAGCUAAAUCCCCGGCCCCCUUUUUUUUUUGAGACAGGGUCUCACUAUGUAGUUCAGGCUGGCCUUGAACUCACUAUGUAGCAGAGGCUGGCCUCAAACUCAAAGCGAUCCUCCUGCCUCAGCCUCCCGAGUGCUGGGAUUACAGGUGUGCACCACCAUUCCUGGCAAAAAUGUUAGGGUUUAUAACAAAAUCUAUCCAUAUUUUCCUAGACAUUAGUUUAAAAAGUUAAAAUUUAUAGCAAGAAUGCCCUUUGAGUCCCUGAUAACAAAAUGAAAAUCAUGCUUUUUAAUAAAUAGCAUGUAAAGGCCCAGGUCUAGCUAUUUCUUACCCCUGUAGUGGUCUGCAUGCCAUGACUACAGUAGUUUCAGGACUGGCUUCUUCCAAAAUGUUCUCAAGACUGCUUUCUUAACCAAGAGUGGUUUACGGAGCCUGACAGCUUCUACUUGGUUAUUCUACUCAGCAUGAGUUAGGUAACAGACCUCUCCUAUGGUUUAUUAAAGUUAAAAAAUGGAAACACUUUUUAAAGUUUCUAUUCAUUAGACAUUAUCUAAUAAAAGUCUACUGGAAAGCCUUCUUACUAAGUCUAUAUAAAAAAAAACAGGGAAUUUUGUCUUAUACACUAAUGUGUGUCUAAAUAAGCACUGUCCAGCCAUGCUGUACUUCUUCCUAAUUUCCUGAAAGAGCUGAGUCCACAUUUACAUAGAUAUUAACUCACUCAACUCUAAAAUGAUUAUACAAAACAAAUAUUUCUCCCUACAGUUCUUGGAUCUUUCCAGAUUUUCUGAGCUAUUCCAUUUUCAAUGCCCACAAUUAAUAAAAUUCACUUAUGGGUAUCCUUGUUUCCCAAAAUAGUUUGCUUUUGGUGACAUAAAAAUGUGAUUAUAAAUAAUUCAUUGAGGUCAAUAUGAAGAUUCAAGUUCAAAAGCCCCCAAAAAACCUUCAAAAAUUUAAAUAAUAGUCUGUUAUAGUGUAUGCAAAGGGAAUUUUGAGAUAUUGACAACUUUUACAUUUUUUUCUCAACAAAAGUUUGCUUUAAGAUUAUUACUUGUGUUUGUCAAAUAUUUUAUAUUUUACAUACAAUGUAAAUGUAGUUUUUAAAAAUUAAACAGAUAAAUAAAAGCUCUAAGUUAUUUAUAAUUAAGUUAAAAUACUAAAGAUUUGUUAAAUAUAAAUUCAUAUAUUAUUUAAAAUUUAUAAAUGAUAAUAUAUUUAAAUAUUACAUAUAUUUCAUAGGUUGUUCAUAUAUGUCUGAUAUAUAUCACUAACAUAAGCUCAAAUAUCUAAAAAUAGAGUUUUAUCAAUCUACAGGUCAACUAGUGAAAAUGAGCUUAAGAAAAUAACUCUCAAAGUGAUUGAGGAUUAUAUCUGUUUAUCAUUUUAAGUUAUUUAUGUAAGCACAAUUUAUUUCAUAUUCUAAUAACAGUUUUUAAAUUCUUAAAAACUCUUUUGAUAUAGAGUUAAUAGCUAUGUUACCUCAUCUUAAUGUGUUUGUUUAUGCUGCCUAAUGCUAAUAGUUUCAAGAGAUAGUAAAUGGCUUGCUUGCUUCUCUAUAAAAACUAAAGUGCUACUAAUUUAGUGUCUAUGUAGUCUUUGUUUAAAUUAAGUAUUUAAAAUGAGUUUUUAUUUUUAAAUCUCUGUUUCUACUAAAACUCCUUUUAAGUUCAAAAGCAAUGAUUUUGGGUGUUUCCAACCUCAAAUAUGUUAUACAUGUGUGUUCUUUUUUAGAUAUCCAGUGGUUACAUCAAUAUAUGACAGUUUGAGGCACAAAUAUGAUCUAAUAACAAUUUUUAAAUACUGGUGAUCCAUUGGCAUAAUUUUAUAAUAUAAAAGUUAUGUUUCUGUUAUAAAUUGAUCAUAUAUGUUAACAGUAUAACUUUUGAAUAAAAUGUUUCUAAAGACAGUUUUUUGUAAAAAUGUUUUUUAAAAAUUGUAGUACAAAAAAACAAUGUCAAAAUCUGUUUAAAAGAAUAAAGCUUAAGAUAGAGAUCUGUUCUUAAUAAAAUUGAAAGCAAAACUAUUUUAAAAGGCUACAGAUUUGUCGAAG
RNAcentral lists this long non-coding RNA (9696 nucleotides) under Heterocephalus glaber (naked mole-rat). Its description in RNAcentral is "lncRNA (ENSHGLG00100032847.1)". The record is from RNAcentral. Lineage: Eukaryota; Metazoa; Chordata; Mammalia; Rodentia; Bathyergidae.